UCCCCUGUAGCUCAGUCGGUAGAGCGGAUGACUGUUAAUCAUUAGGUCGGCGGUUCGAGCCCGUCCGGGGGAGCCA
RNAcentral lists this transfer RNA (76 nucleotides) under Methylobacter tundripaludum. RNAcentral describes it as "tRNA-Asn". It matches the Rfam family "tRNA". Rfam says of the family: Transfer RNA (tRNA) molecules are approximately 80 nucleotides in length. Their secondary structure includes four short double-helical elements and three loops (D, anti-codon, and T loops). Further hydrogen bonds mediate the characteristic L-shaped molecular structure. tRNAs have two regions of fundamental functional importance: the anti-codon, which is responsible for specific mRNA codon recognition, and the 3' end, to which the tRNAs corresponding amino acid is attached (by aminoacyl-tRNA synthetases). tRNAs cope with the degeneracy of the genetic code in two manners: having more than one tRNA (with a specific anti-codon) for a particular amino acid; and 'wobble' base-pairing, i.e. permitting non-standard base-pairing at the 3rd anti-codon position. RNAcentral also lists the same sequence under 18 other names. The record is from RNAcentral. Lineage: Bacteria; Pseudomonadati; Pseudomonadota; Gammaproteobacteria; Methylococcales; Methylococcaceae.